AUGAGGAAAUUUGAAAAAAAAAGAAAAAAAAAAAAGAAAUAAACAAGUCCGUUUGUUAAGAGGUCACAAAGCAAUAAAAGGCAAGACCGAGUUCGGAGUCAUAAAGCAAGCUGAUAAGGCGCCAUUUAUGUAAUGCCACAGCGACGUGUGCGUGCGUGAGCGCAAUAAAUGAGUCAGGUCACUCUGUUUAUAUAAGUGCCGAUAACCUACGACACAGUUGCCCUUUAUUGCCCAUCCCUCACGAUGAAUCUCGGAAAUACCCAUGGGCAAACUUUUGUCAUAGGAUUU
Hippocampus comes (tiger tail seahorse) is the source of this 288-nucleotide long non-coding RNA. RefSeq lists it as uncharacterized. NCBI's taxonomy places the organism in Eukaryota, Metazoa, Chordata, Actinopteri, Syngnathiformes, Syngnathidae. The record is from RefSeq and is a predicted model, not a curated record. The transcript is spliced from 2 exons.